GAUGAACGCUAGCGGCAGGCUUAACACAUGCAAGUCGAGGGGUAUGCCGAUUUAUCGGCAGAGACCGGCGCACGGGUGCGUAACGCGUAUGCAAUCUACCUUUCACAGAGGGAUAGCCCAGAGAAAUUUGGAUUAAUACCUCAUAGUAUAGCAGUUUCGCAUGAAACCACUAUUAAAGUUCCAACGGUGAAAGAUGAGCAUGCGUCCCAUUAGCUAGAUGGUAAGGUAACGGCUUACCAUGGCUACGAUGGGUAGGGGUCCUGAGAGGGAGAUCCCCCACACUGGUACUGAGACACGGACCAGACUCCUACGGGAGGCAGCAGUGAGGAAUAUUGGUCAAUGGGCGCAAGCCUGAACCAGCCAUGCCGCGUGCAGGAAGACGGUCCUAUGGAUUGUAAACUGCUUUUAUACAGGAAGAAACCCUCCCACGUGUGGGAGCUUGACGGUACUGUAGGAAUAAGGAUCGGCUAACUCCGUGCCAGCAGCCG
This 488-nucleotide ribosomal RNA is filed under the name uncultured bacterium. RNAcentral describes it as "bacterial SSU rRNA". It matches the Rfam family "Bacterial small subunit ribosomal RNA", at positions 28 to 517 of the family's 1533-position model. The record is from RNAcentral.